GGGGAAGUCUGCCCCACUAGUCUGGGAUACCACUUGGAAACAGGUGCUAAUACCGGAUAAGAAAGCAGAUCGCAUGAUCAGCUUUUAAAAGGCGGCGUAAGCUGUCGCUAUGGGAUGGCCCCGCGGUGCAUUAGCUAGUUGGUAAGGUAAAGGCUUACCAAGGCGAUGAUGCAUAGCCGAGUUGAGAGACUGAUCGGCCACAUUGGGACUGAGACACGGCCCAA
RNAcentral lists this ribosomal RNA (224 nucleotides) under uncultured bacterium. RNAcentral describes it as "partial 16S ribosomal RNA". It matches the Rfam family "Bacterial small subunit ribosomal RNA", at positions 119 to 334 of the family's 1533-position model. The record is from RNAcentral.